RNAcentral lists this ribosomal RNA (255 nucleotides) under uncultured bacterium. RNAcentral's name for it is "partial small subunit ribosomal RNA". It matches the Rfam family "Bacterial small subunit ribosomal RNA", at positions 26 to 285 of the family's 1533-position model. The record is from RNAcentral.
AGGACGAACGCUGGCGGCGUGCUUAACACAUGCAAGUCGAGCGGAAAGGCCCUUCGGGGUACUCGAGCGGCGAACGGGUGAGUAACACGUGAGCAACCUGCCCUUAGCUCUGGGAUAGCUCCGGGAAACCGGAGUUAAUACCGGAUAUUACACCGGCUGGCAUCGGCUGGUGUGGAAAGAUUUAUCGGCUAAGGAUGGACUCGCGGCCUAUCAGCUUGUUGGUGGGGUAGAAGCCUACCAAGGCGACGACGGGUA